CCUACGAGAGGCAGCAGUGAGGAAUAUUUGUCAAUGGGCGAGAGCCUGAACCAGCCAAGUCGCGUGAAGGAUGAAUGAUCUAUGGUUUGUAAACUUCUUUUAUAUGGGAAUAAAGUGAGGAACGUGUUCCUUUUUGUAUGUACCAUAUGAAUAAGCAUCGGCUAACUCCGUGCCAGCAGCCGCGGUAAUACGGAGGAUGUGAGCUUUCUCCGGAUUUAUUGGGUUUAAAGGGUGCGUAGGUGGUUAAUUAAGUCAGCGGUGAAAGUUUGUGGCUCAACCAUAAAAUUGCCGUUGAAACUGGUUGACGUUAGUAUAUUUGAGGUAGGCGGAAUGCGUGGUGUAGCGGUGAAAUGCAUAGAUAUCACGCAGAACUCCGAUUGCGAAGGCAGCUUACUAAACUAUAACUGACACUGAAGCACGAAAGCGUGGGGAUCAAACAGGAUUAGAUACCCUGGUAGUC
Molecule: ribosomal RNA, 460 nt
Filed under: uncultured bacterium
Lineage: Bacteria
Description: partial 16S ribosomal RNA
Rfam family: Bacterial small subunit ribosomal RNA
Source: RNAcentral